GCCCGUCUGGCGAAAUGGCAGACGCGCCAGCUUGAGGGGCUGGUGUCCCGAAAGGGGCGUCCCGGUUCAAGUCCGGGGAUGGGCA
This 85-nucleotide transfer RNA is filed under the name Pseudarthrobacter chlorophenolicus. RNAcentral describes it as "tRNA_Leu_GAG". It matches the Rfam family "tRNA". Rfam says of the family: Transfer RNA (tRNA) molecules are approximately 80 nucleotides in length. Their secondary structure includes four short double-helical elements and three loops (D, anti-codon, and T loops). Lineage: Bacteria; Bacillati; Actinomycetota; Actinomycetes; Micrococcales; Micrococcaceae. The record is from RNAcentral. RNAcentral also lists the same sequence under 1 other name.